GUCGGGAGACUGACCCAGCCAAGCCGCGUGAGGGAUGAAGGUACAGAGUAUCGUAAACCUCUUUUGUCAGGGAACAAAGGCGGGGACGUGUCCCCGGAUGAGUGUACCUGAAGAAAAAGCAUCGGCUAACUCCGUGCCAGCAGCCGCGGUAAUACGGAGGAUGCGAGCGUUAUCCGGAUUUAUUGGGUUUAAAGGGUGCGCAGGCGGUCUGUUAAGUCAGCGGUCAAAGCCCGGGGCUCAACCCCGGCCCGCCGUUGAAACUGGCAGUCUCGAGUUGGAGAGAAGUAUGCGGAAUGCGCGGUGUAGCGGUGAAAUGCAUAGAUAUCGCGCAGAACUCCGAUUGCGAAGGCAGCAUGCCGGCUCCACACUGACGCUGAGGCACGAAAGCGUGGGUAUCGAACAGGAUUAGAUACCCUGGUAGUCCACGCAGUAAACGAUGAAUGCUGGCUGUCCGGGGGGAUUGACCCCUGG
RNAcentral lists this ribosomal RNA (471 nucleotides) under uncultured bacterium. RNAcentral describes it as "bacterial SSU rRNA". It matches the Rfam family "Bacterial small subunit ribosomal RNA", at positions 374 to 842 of the family's 1533-position model. The record is from RNAcentral.